UACAGAGGGUGCAAGCGUUAAUCGGAAUUACUGGGCGUAAAGCGUGCGCAGGCGGCUUUGCAAGACAGAUGUGAAAUCCCCGGGCUCAACCUGGGAACUGCAUUUGUGACUGCAAGGCUAGAGUACGGCAGAGGGGGAUGGAAUUCCGCGUGUAGCAGUGAAAUGCGUAGAUAUGCGGAGGAACACCAAUGGCGAAGGCAAUGCCCUGGGCCUGUACUGACGCUCAUGCACGAAAGCGUGGGGAGCAAACAGG
RNAcentral lists this ribosomal RNA (253 nucleotides) under uncultured bacterium. RNAcentral's name for it is "partial 16S ribosomal RNA". It matches the Rfam family "Bacterial small subunit ribosomal RNA", at positions 524 to 776 of the family's 1533-position model. The record is from RNAcentral.